Molecule: long non-coding RNA, 511 nt
Organism: Malaclemys terrapin pileata
Lineage: Eukaryota; Metazoa; Chordata; Testudines; Emydidae
Exons: 2
Source: RefSeq, a predicted model, not a curated record
CGGCAGCCUCCCAGCCUGGAGUGGGGCUUUCUCUCCUGAUUUCUGCUGCCUCUAUCUCUCCCCACGUCUUGGUGCCUCUGCAGAUCCAUCAGCUGCUGCCUUGUGCCUGCUCUUGCCUCAAGCUGCCAAAAGGGCAAGUUGUGUCUCCUGUGCCACUUUGGGCCGUCCUAGAGCUCAGCGUUCGUCUUGGGGUGGGAGUGUUCCCAUUUCCAUAUUCGUUCCCUGGCGCGGUGAGACCUGUCAGUUCUCGGCUCCCUCUGCAAAGUCAGACUCAAGAAGAGUUUGUCAUUAAAUACAAACAACCCAACAAAAGUGGCAAUUCUACCCCCGGCUGAACAUUUCCAUAGAAAGAUGCUGCUUCUGGGCCCAAACAGUUGCAAUGGUUAUUAAAUGUCAAUGUUAUUUAAUUUUUGCUCUCCCCAGUGCUUUGGUGCCUGACUGCUUGUAUCACUCGUUCGCUCAGAAACUUCAGCUUCUCUUGAUGAGAUGGAAUAAACAGUGCCUGGCAGAG